This 78-nucleotide transfer RNA is filed under the name Terriglobia bacterium. Its description in RNAcentral is "tRNA-OTHER". Lineage: Bacteria; Pseudomonadati; Acidobacteriota; Terriglobia. The record is from RNAcentral.
AGCGAUAGCGAACAGGCCGGGACGUAACGAAAUUUUCUCAAUCUUCAAACCCGGGUUCGAUUCCCGGUAGCGCUACCA